AGGGGUAAAAUUAUCAUUUCGUUUAAAUUAUUUAACGAUGUUAGUUCAAAAGUAACUAAUUAAUACAAAUUUAAAAAGAAAUGCGGUGUAAAAAACAUGUUAGAAUUUUAUGGUGGUUGGAUGAACAUAAGGUAAAAGAGAGGUGGUGCAAUGAUAAUUUCCCUUUUCUUUUUUCUAAUGGUGGCAUAUGAGGAGAGGUUGAAAUUGCUUAAAAAACGACAGACCACCACUAAUUUUGUUAGAUAUAUAUUGUAAAAUUCUCGAGCUUUUAUUAUUAAUUCUGUCAAAAUUAUUUUAUAAUUAUGAGAGCAUAAAAGUUGGGAAGUCAGUAAGUCUAGAAUUUGAUGCUUAAAAAUUUUUAAAAUUGUAGUUUAGCAUCUGGAAAUUUAACUAAGAGUGCUGCAUGAAUUUUAUUUAUUGUUAAAUAUUAGUAUGAGAAAUUAAAGGUAACUUUUCAAUUUCACCUGAUGUUAAGAGAAUGAAAGCCAGACAAACUGGCUGCUUCCUUCAAAGCUUUCCUCCAAGUCUGCAGCUUCUCUGGAUUCUCCUUAAAUCUUUCUUCAAGCUUCGAAAAUGAAAUCC
This 582-nucleotide long non-coding RNA is filed under the name Citrus sinensis (sweet orange). Its description in RNAcentral is "long non-coding RNA (CSIN_LNC005742)". The record is from RNAcentral. Lineage: Eukaryota; Viridiplantae; Streptophyta; Magnoliopsida; Sapindales; Rutaceae.